UACGUAGGCGGAAAAUUAAGUCAGUAUUGAAAUCCUGCAGCUUAACUGUAGAACUGUUAUUGAUACUGGUUUUCUUGAAUAUAGUUGAGGUAAGCGGAAUGUGUAAUGUAGCGGUGAAAUGCUUAGAUAUUACACAGAACACCGAUUGCGAAGGCAGCUUACUAAGCUAUGAUUGACGCUGAGGUACGAAAGCGUGGGGAGCGAACAGGAUUAGAUACCCUGGUAGUCC
RNAcentral lists this ribosomal RNA (229 nucleotides) under uncultured bacterium. RNAcentral's name for it is "partial 16S ribosomal RNA". It matches the Rfam family "Bacterial small subunit ribosomal RNA", at positions 568 to 796 of the family's 1533-position model. The record is from RNAcentral.